RNAcentral lists this ribosomal RNA (569 nucleotides) under uncultured bacterium. Its description in RNAcentral is "bacterial SSU rRNA". It matches the Rfam family "Bacterial small subunit ribosomal RNA", at positions 8 to 562 of the family's 1533-position model. The record is from RNAcentral.
AGAGUUUGAUCCUGGCUCAGGACGAACGCUGGCGGCGUGGAUUAGGCAUGCAAGUCGAACGGUAGAUAUUCCUUCGGGGAUAUUGAGAGUGGCGAACGGGUGAGUAACACGUAGAUGAUCUACCCUCAAAUGGGGGACAACCCAGGGAAACUUGGGCUAAUACCGCAUGAGUGCAGUGCUUAGGUAUUGCAUAAAAGGUGGCUUUCGGGCUGUCGUUUGGGGAUGAGUCUGCGUCCUAUUAGCUAGUUGGUGUGGUAAUGGCAUACCAAGGCGAUGAUAGGUAGGCGGCCUUAACGGGUGGUCGCCCACACUGGGAUUGAGAUACGGCCCAGACUCCUACGGGAGGCAGCAGUCGAGAAUAGUCUACAAUGGACGAAAGUCUGAUAGUGCGACGCCGCGUGAACGAAGAAUCCCUUCGGGGUGUAAAGUUCUUUUAUAUGUGAGCAAUGGUUUAUAUGUGAACAGCAUAUAGGCAGAGAUAUUAGCAUAUGAAUAAGCAACGGCUAACUCCGUGCCAGCAGCCGCGGUAACACGGGGGUUGCAAGCGUUGUCCGGAAUUACUAGGCGUA